Molecule: long non-coding RNA, 2330 nt
Organism: Canis lupus familiaris (dog)
Lineage: Eukaryota; Metazoa; Chordata; Mammalia; Carnivora; Canidae
Exons: 3
Source: RefSeq, a predicted model, not a curated record
CGGAGAUUUUAGGCAGGCUUCACACUCAGCACCCGGCAGGUCCUGGGGCUCGAUCUCACAACCCUGAGAUCAAGACUUGAAUAAGGAUCAGAAGCUCAAGCAACUGAGCCCUCCGACCCCCUUUUGGAAGCCUUUCCGGCCCCCCUUCGGCCAUCUCCCACCAGGCGGGUCUAGACCCUCCCUCCAGUCAGGACCAGUUGCGUAAGCUGCAGGGCGCUGUGCAAAAUGCAAACCGGGGCGCCUGUUAAAAGUCCAUAAAAAUCCCCAAAUGGCCACAGCAGAGCAGAGCACGAAAGCCAGUGAGGCCCCUGAGUGGCCGCCCGGGUCCCAGGCCGGCUCCUGCGCCCCGUGGCCCCCGCGCUCCCCUGGGCCGCCCCGUGCCCCUGCCGCACACAUCUGCAGCUAUCGUGCCGACACGGAGCAGUUGUCGACUUUCUAUAACCAGGACGAUGUUCAUAACCUGGAUUUCUGGCUUCUGUUAAGAAAUCAGAGGAUUUGGGAUGCCCCGGGGGGGCUCAGUGGUGGAGCGUCUGCCUCGGCUCAGGGUGUGAUCCCGGGGUCCUGGGAUCGAGUCCCGCAUCGGGCUCCCUGCAGGGGCCUGCUUCUCCCUCUGCCCGCGUCUCUCUCUCUCUCUCUCUCUCUCUCUUUCUCUCUCGGUCUCAUGAAUAAAUAAAUAAAAUCUUAAAAGAAGAACAAGGAGGAGGAGGAGGAGGAGGAGGCCGGCGGGCCGGGCCAGCGCUCCCCGCGGACCGCGAUCUCCAGGAGCGGCUCCUGCCGUCCCCCUCGAUGUUCCAAGUCCGCCAUGUGCCCACCGACCAGCCUGAGCCACCCGGAGAGGCCGCCUUCAGGCCCUGCGGGGCACACGCACGCCCAGCGCCUGCUCCUGCUCCCAGCCUCGGAGCUCGUCCGUACCCCGUGUACUCCCGUGUACCCCCGUGUGCCCCCAUGUACCCGGCACAGUGACGCUGUCCAGGCGUCGGCGGGCGAGUGCAUGGCGGCCGUGGGGGGCUCCCGCUCACGAGUAUGGAAACCUGGGGUGGCUCGUCGGUUAAGCGCCGGACUCCUGACUGCGGCUCAGCUCGCGAUCUCAGGGUCGCCAGACGAGCCCCGGGUCGGGCUCCAUGCUCAGCAGGGACUCUGCUUGAGACUCUGUCUCCCUCUCCCUCGCCCAACCCCCAAAAAAAUAAAUAAAUAAAAUCUUAAAAAAAAACACAAGUGUAGAAAGCCAGCCAGCUCCUGGUGCUAUGAGGGCCUGGGUGGGGACAAGGGCCGAGGCUUACUAGGCAGUGUCCCACUUUCUCACAUGCAGGUGCACCUGCAGCCCGCACGGCGUGUAACAGAUGCCCCCAGGCCUGGCCUUCUGCGCGCCCGCGGCCCACGCAGCUCCCCUCUUGUCUCAGGAAGAACAGGGCCCUGAGUUGGUGCCCGCAGCGUAAGCACCUUCCAUGAUGUGUAGAGCAGAGCACAGAUCCACGUGAGAGCCCCAAGCUCCAGGCCCGGGCCAGGGCAACAGCAGCAGCAAUUAGCUCAGCUCAGCUGCCCGUUACUGGAACCUUUGUGUCAACUCUGGAGCCGAUCCAGGAAACCAUGCCCAGUGUCCCGCAUGACUCAGUCUCACCUGCCCACCUCCACACCUGCGCCAGCCUCGGUGACCCAGGCUGCAGCACUGCAGGGCAAGUCCCAGGCUCCCCUGGUGCAUCCCUCACCUACCCCGGGUGCCUGCAAGGCAUGCCGGGAUUUAGAGUCCUUAGGGCACCAGCUUGGUCCCUUGACUGAUUUCUAGCGAAGAAGAAAUGCUCCAGGCAGGCCCAGAGCGGGGGUCGGAAAACCGGAACCUCUGCGGGGAACGCAGGCAGAAGCGUUUGCUCUCCUGUUACUGUCCGCUCUGGGAGACGCGUACGGCCGGGAGUAAGAAGGCCCCGACGUCCAGAGCUGUUGAGGGCAUAGAGGUUGGUAACUCAAGCUUGCCACAGGCCCUUGGUCUAGGUGUGACUUCGGAGACGCUUCCCAAGGGCACUUUGACAAACGGUCUAAAAGCCUUAAAAAACCCAUGCGCACCACUGUCCGCAGCAGCUUCAUGCCUGAGGAUUGAGAAAAUAAAGAAAAAAAAAGGAAAUAACUGGAUAGGUCCGCGAGAAUCUGCACGGGCCGCCGUUACGCCGCUGUUACAACUGCAGGUGGACAAGAGCCGCCUAAGGGCCGGUCCUCGGAGGACCAGCACGGGACGGAGGCUCAUUCAGACACGAGGCCGCCAGGAGAGUGAUGCUGGGGGGCCGGGGGGGAUGGGGGGGCUGCCCUGGGCUCAGGUCAUGACCCGGGGCCCGCUGGAG